RNAcentral lists this ribosomal RNA (278 nucleotides) under uncultured bacterium. Its description in RNAcentral is "partial 16S ribosomal RNA". It matches the Rfam family "Bacterial small subunit ribosomal RNA", at positions 506 to 784 of the family's 1533-position model. The record is from RNAcentral.
UGCCAGCAGCCGCGGUAACACGGGGGCGCAAGCGUUAUUCGGAAUUAUUGGGCGUAAAGGGCGCGCAGGCGGUCUUGUCAGUCAGGUGUGAAAGCCCGGGGCUCAACCCCGGAUGGUCACUUGAAACAGCAAGACUUGAGUACGGGAGAGGAGAGAGGAAUUCCUGGUGUAGAGGUGAAAUUCGUAGAUAUUCGGAGGAACACCAGUGGCGAAGGCGGCUUUCUGGACCGAUACUGACGCUGAGACGCGAAAGCGUGGGGAGCAAACAGGAUUAGAUA